RNAcentral lists this ribosomal RNA (871 nucleotides) under uncultured bacterium. RNAcentral describes it as "bacterial SSU rRNA". It matches the Rfam family "Archaeal small subunit ribosomal RNA", at positions 22 to 900 of the family's 1478-position model. The record is from RNAcentral.
GGCCACUGCUAUUGGGGUUCGACUAAGCCAUGCGAGUCUAUGGACUUCGGUCCAUGGCGGACGGCUCAGUAACACGUGGCUAACUGCCCUCAGGUGGGGGAUAACCUUGGGAAACUGAGGAUAAUACCCCAUAGGGGAAGAGGUCUGGAAUGAUCCUUCCUUGAAAGGACAUCCGCCUGAGGAUGGGGCUGCGUCCGAUUAGGUAGUUGGUGGGGUAAUGGCCCACCAAGCCUACGAUCGGUACGGGCCUUGAGAGAGGAAGCCCGGAGAUGGGGACUGAGACACGGCCCCAGGCCCUACGGGGCGCAGCAGGCGCGAAACCUCCACAAUGCACGAAAGUGCGAUGGGGGGACCCCAAGUGCCUAUGCACAGCAUAGGCUUUUCCCAAGUGUAAAUAGCUUGGGGAAUAAGGGCUGGGCAAGUCCGGUGCCAGCAGCCGCGGUAACACCGGCGGCCCGAGUGGUGGCCACUCUUAUUGGGCCUAAAGCGUCCGUAGCCGGUCCAGUAAGUCCCUGUUUAAAUCCUACGGCUCAACCGUAGGGCUGGCAGGGAUACUGCUGGACUUGGGACCGGGAGAGGACGAGGGUACUCCAGGGGUAGCGGUGAAAUGCGUUGAUCCCUGGAGGACCACCUAUGGCGAAGGCACUCGUCUGGAACGAGUCCGACGGUGAGGGACGAAAGCCAGGGGCGCGAACCGGAUUAGAUACCCGGGUAGUCAUGGCCGUAAACUCUGCGGACUAGGUGUCGCCUGGGCCUUGGGUCCAGGUGGUGCCGAAGGGAAGCCAUUAAGUCCGCCGCCUGGGGAGUACGGUCGCAAGACUGAAACUUAAGGGAAUUGGCGGGGGAGCACCACAACGGUUGAUCCUGCCGG